CCAGUGUGCAAGCAUAGGGGCCCUACA
This 27-nucleotide non-coding RNA is filed under the name Mus musculus (house mouse). Lineage: Eukaryota; Metazoa; Chordata; Mammalia; Rodentia; Muridae. The record is from RNAcentral.